GGAGGGGUCGCAUAAUGGUAGUGCAGCGGUUUGCUAAACCGUGACCGAGAAAUCGGUUUCCGGGUUCGAUUCCCGGUUCCUCCG
This 84-nucleotide transfer RNA is filed under the name Chitinispirillales bacterium. RNAcentral describes it as "tRNA-Ser". It matches the Rfam family "tRNA". From Rfam's summary of the family: Transfer RNA (tRNA) molecules are approximately 80 nucleotides in length. Their secondary structure includes four short double-helical elements and three loops (D, anti-codon, and T loops). Further hydrogen bonds mediate the characteristic L-shaped molecular structure. tRNAs have two regions of fundamental functional importance: the anti-codon, which is responsible for specific mRNA codon recognition, and the 3' end, to which the tRNAs corresponding amino acid is attached (by aminoacyl-tRNA synthetases). tRNAs cope with the degeneracy of the genetic code in two manners: having more than one tRNA (with a specific anti-codon) for a particular amino acid; and 'wobble' base-pairing, i.e. permitting non-standard base-pairing at the 3rd anti-codon position. The record is from RNAcentral. Lineage: Bacteria; Pseudomonadati; Fibrobacterota; Chitinispirillia; Chitinispirillales.